UACACUCCUACGGGAGGCAGCAGUGGGGAAUUUUGGACAAUGGGCGAAAGCCUGAUCCAGCAAUGCCGCGUGAGUGAAGAAGGCCUUCGGGUUGUAAAGCUCUUUUGUCAGGGAAGAAACGGUGAAAGCUAAUAUCUUUUGCUAAUGACGGUACCUGAAGAAUAAGCACCGGCUAACUACGUGCCAGCAGCCGCGGUAAUACGUAGGGUGCAAGCGUUAAUCGGAAUUACUGGGCGUAAAGCGUGCGCAGGCGGUUUUGUAAGUCUGAUGUGAAAUCCCCGGGCUCAACCUGGGAAUUGCAUUGGAGACUGCAAGGCUAGAAUCUGGCAGAGGGGGGUAGAAUUCCACGUGUAGCAGUGAAAUGCGUAGAUAUGUGGAGGAACACCGAUGGCGAAGGCAGCCCCCUGGGUCAAGAUUGACGCUCAUGCACGAAAGCGUGGGGAGCAAACAGGAUUAGAUACCCUAGUAGUCCCA
This 474-nucleotide ribosomal RNA is filed under the name uncultured organism. RNAcentral describes it as "partial 16S ribosomal RNA". It matches the Rfam family "Bacterial small subunit ribosomal RNA", at positions 332 to 797 of the family's 1533-position model. The record is from RNAcentral.